RNAcentral lists this ribosomal RNA (253 nucleotides) under uncultured bacterium. RNAcentral describes it as "partial 16S ribosomal RNA". It matches the Rfam family "Bacterial small subunit ribosomal RNA", at positions 524 to 776 of the family's 1533-position model. The record is from RNAcentral.
UACGUAGGGUGCGAGCGUUAAUCGGAAUUACUGGGCGUAAAGGGCGCGUAGGCGGUGCCACAAGUCACCUGUGAAAUCCCCGGGCUUAACUCGGAAAGGUCAACUGAUACUGUGCGACUAGAGUGCGGAAGGGGCAACUGGAAUUCUCGGUGUAGCGGUGAAAUGCGUAGAUAUCGAGAGGAACACCUGCGGCGAAGGCGGGUUGCUGGGCCGACACUGACGCUGAUGCGCGAAAGCCAGGGGAGCGAACGGG